UACGGAGGGUGCGAGCGUUGUCCGGAAUCAUUGGGCGUAAAGGGCGCGUAGGUGGCCCGGUCAGUCUUUGGUGAAAGCGCGGGGCUCAACCCUGCGUCGGCCAGGGAUACUGCCGCGGCUGGAGCACUGUAGAGGCAGGCGGAAUUCCGGGUGUAGCGGUGGAAUGCGCAGAUAUCAGGAGGAACACCGAUUGCGAAGGCAGCUCGCUGGGACGUUACUGACGCUGAGACGCGAAAGCGUGGGGAGCAAACAGG
RNAcentral lists this ribosomal RNA (254 nucleotides) under uncultured bacterium. RNAcentral describes it as "partial 16S ribosomal RNA". It matches the Rfam family "Bacterial small subunit ribosomal RNA", at positions 524 to 776 of the family's 1533-position model. The record is from RNAcentral.